UGGCCAGACUCCUACGGGAGGCAGCAGUGGGGAAUAUUGCACAGUGGGGGAAACCCUGAUGCAGCGACGCCGCGUGAGCGAUGAAGUAUUUCGGUAUGUAAAGCUCUAUCAGCAGGGAAGAAGAUGACGGUACCUGACUAAGAAGCCCCGGCUAACUACGUGCCAGCAGCCGCGGUAAUACGUAGGGGGCAAGCGUUAUCCGGAUUUACUGGGUGUAAAGGGAGCGUAGACGGCGAUGCAAGCCAGAUGUGAAAGCCCGGGGCUCAACCCCGGGACUGCAUUUGGAACUGUGUGGCUGGAGUGUCGGAGAGGCAGGCGGAAUUCCUAGUGUAGCGGUGAAAUGCGUAGAUAUUAGGAGGGACACCAGUGGCGAAGGCGGCUUACUGGACAGUAACUGACGUUGGGGCUCGAAAGCGUGGGGAGCAAACAGGAUUAGAUACCCGUGUA
This 447-nucleotide ribosomal RNA is filed under the name uncultured bacterium. RNAcentral's name for it is "bacterial SSU rRNA". It matches the Rfam family "Bacterial small subunit ribosomal RNA", at positions 328 to 792 of the family's 1533-position model. The record is from RNAcentral.